UAUCCCUGAAUAUGACCAUGUCCACACAUUUCUAUUUUCAGAUAAUUAGAUGGAUAAAUGAUUGCUUGAAGGAAUAAGCCUAUGUAUUAAAAGAAAAACCAAGAACCCAUUUAAUUACAGAAAAGGAGAAGAAAAUGGUGUUUCAACAUUUGGCCUUCAAAUUUUUCUGAUUUAAUGCUACUGGGUAAAAUCUAUUGCUAUGAUGCAAGGCUGUCUCACCUUCCCCUUCAUCCUAGGUUACACAAUUACUCGAGAAAAGUUACCAAUUAUAUACACAAAAUAGCAAAAAAAUAUUUUUGUCUUCAUUUAUGUGUCUUUGGUUAUAUGCUGUCAAUGCAGUAUGCUUUUAUAAUGAGACAUAGUUAUCCAGUGAUUUUUUUUGCAAGAUGAAAAUGAGUAAAUUAUGUUUUAAGAAAAGCUUUAAAAAGAGCAAACACUAGACUAUGAUUGUCCCUGACUAUUUGUGAGAAAGCGUCCUGAGAAUUUUCUUGGGGAAUCAGCUUCAUGCCUCGCCCAAGAAUUGUCUUCUUUGUUAGCAUUCACAAAGUAUAAGAAAUUUCCCAGAUACACAGUAGGCAGACAGCCUUGUAUGUCAGACCCCAUGCUGGAUCUGUCGAUGCCUGUUUCCAAGAUGAGGUCUUUCCCAGUGCACCCGAGGUGAAGCAAGCCAAGCCAGGUGACACCUGGGAGUUGAUGAGAUUUGGAAGAAAAGCACAUUCAACACAUGACCUUGUUAAUAUCAUUAAUGCCCAUUGUCAGUUGGCCAGCUUGGUGAUGGAGGAGAGGCCUGGCAAGUCCCAGGGUCCUGGAGUAGCUCUUGGGUUACUGCCCAUGGAUAAUUGCUUUUCUUUCCCUUCCUAGUUCAUUUGGCUUGGUUCCUAGGGCACUAGAUAUUCAUGCUGGUGUUUUCCCAUGGAAACCUUAGCAGAGUUAAAACAUGAUACAGGAUUUGCUGGGCAGAAGGAAGAAGAAUGAUUUUAAUUUUUGAGAGCAAAUAUACUUCUUGAUAAACAGAACAAAGGUUUGAGUAGUGUGCAUUUCAGUAUCACUGAGAAGAGAUUUCAAGUGUUCUCAUCACACACAAAAAAAUAGAUACCAGGGUAACAGAUCAAAUAUCAUUUUAUAGUCCAUGAAUAUGUAUAACGACAAUUUGUCAAUAUAUAAACUAAUAAAAAUUCAAAUUUAAAUCCAACAAAAAGUGACAUUGGGUAAGACAGUUUUUACAAAAUGAAUUCUGUGUUUGCUUCAGCAGCACAUAGACUAAAAAUGAAAUCUUUCAGGGAAGGUUAGCAUUGCUUGGAUAGAAGGAUGACAUGCAAAUUUUUGUAGUACCCCAUAUUAAUUAAAUUGGGGGCAAGCCCAGAGCUCAGAGGGCUUUAGCCCCUACUUAGCAUGUAUAAGGCAUUAGGUUCAAUUCUAUAUCACAGAAAACAUAUUAUUCAGAAUAUAUACAAUAGAAACCUUUCCUGAGAUGUAAAACAGUUGGCGCUUAAGCCUUCAAAGCAGUGGCACCACUACACCCUUCCCUGGGAGGGACUUUUGGAGGGGCCUUAUGUAUCAUCAGCUAAAGGAGGAUUUAGAUUGAUUGAUUGAUUGAUUGAUUGAUUGAUUUAUGUUUUUCGAGACAUGGUUUCUCUGUGUAGCCCUGGCUGUCCUGGAACUCACUUUGUAGACCAGGCUGGCCUUGAAUUCAGAAAUCUGCCUGCCUGUGCCUCCCAAGUGCUGAAAUUAAAGGAGUGUGCCACCACGCCCAGCUAACUUUACUUUCUUUCUCUCUUAGAAUUAGAUGAACUCAUUCAGGGUAUUUCAAAUAUAAUGUGCUGCAUAAAUUCUGCAUUUGAGUACAUUUGAGAUUUUUAUCUUAAGGGUUUCAGAGUUUUAACUUUGGGUAUUUCAUGAGAAUAAACAAGUAAUAUUUCAAUACUCAUGGCUUGCUAUUUAGGAUUUUUACAGGUUGUUGUUGAUCUAUUGAGAUAUUCAUUAGUUUUUCCCAUGUGAAAGCAAGAUUGGAGGCAGGGUGAAUUACAGCUGCUUGACCUCUGACGUCUGAGCUGUGAGUGUCUCCUUGGGAUGACUGAUAGUGAAUAAGUAAGCAAUAAAGAAACCUCACAGUGUUAGGUAGGCAUAAGAACCUUAGAGAAAUCACUGGAAGCAGUACUAGAGAGGAAAGAUGGCCGGUCUCUAGUUAGGUUGAAGACAAGAUGAGGCAUCUCUAAGGGGAGCUACAAGUAUUGUAUUAGGGGUAUGUGUGUGGAAUACUGAGCACCAGAGCACUGGAAGGAGCAACAAGAAAAUUUCCAGGAACCAAAAUGGCUGCAGUCAGUGUGAGAAGAUAGAAAAAACUGUAAAUUCCAACAGUUCUAAGAGAAGCAUUAUUCUUUUUUUUUUUUUCCUUUUUCCAAUUUCUUAUUAGGUAUUUUCUUCACUUACAUUUCAAAUGCUAUCCCAAAAGUCCUCUAUACCCUCCCCCCUCCCUGCUCCCCUACCCACCCACUCCCACUUCUUGGCUCUGGUGUUCCCCUGUACUGGGGCGUAUAAAGUUGCAUUAUUCUUAUGUAAGGUACUUUACUUUUUUUGUUUUGUUUUUUUUAAGAUCCUUUAGCUGCCAUAUACAUGAAUUGAAAGGGACUGUGGACCAAGAAUGUAGAUCUGGAAGCUAGCAGCAUGGACUGACACUGUAGUGAAGAAUGGCUUACAGAUUUGUAAGAGGCUCUGAGAAUGAGUCAACAGGACUUGCUGCAAAUACACCAAACCCAUUCUGAGAGAAAGAAGACAAUCAAAGACAGGAAGUCCUUACUUUAAUGUUUGAAAUUAUGGAUAUAAUGAAUAGCAAAACAGUGAAAUCAGAGGAAUUAUCUUUACCUAGUUAACAAACAAUUGACAUAUGGUACAGCUAAACUAAUGAUCAUCCACGGUCAAUUACAGGACAGUGUCUAAUAGAUGUGCAAGAAAUAAUGUAAGAAGACUUUAUUUUAGAAAUUUCCUCAUCAAAUAUGAGGACAUUGGAUGAGUCAGAAGUUUUUCUCUUUGCUUGCUUUCUAGUUGCCUUGCCGUUCAUCUUGCAAAACUCCCCAUGCCCUGAAAAACAGUGUAUCUCUACAUACUAAGAUGUACAUGUAGAUGUAAAUGCACAUGUACACGAUGUAUAUGUGUAGAUACAUACAUACACAAAAUUCAUUUGAAAAAUCUUUUAAAGCACUAGAUAUCUUGCCUUAACAGCUUUGUAUUAUGGGAAAUUUUAGGUACUUAUCUUUCAAGCUGGAAACCAAGGUCACUCUGGCUGUUUUCUCAUCUAUAACCUGGAAAUUAAUGGUAGCAUCUUGCAUAGAUGAGUAUCUUGAAAUUUAAAUGAGAGUAAUUAUAGUAUCCUAUGUAAAUGUUUGCCACAUAUUAUGAUUGCAAUAUGCUUGGAAAUUGUUUUUAUUAAUCUACCCAGGCUUUUAAGAAAGUGUGGUCCUUAGAGGUUUUCAUCAGUGAAAUGAAAGUAGUUUCUACCACCUAAUUUAGUGAAAAGUCGGCUUGCCUGUGGAAUCCCAUGUCCUUUUGAGGACUCUGUCAUUAUAAAACAUAAUGUUAGGCUUUGAAGUGAAUUACAGCCAAUCCAUAGCACGUGACCUAGUACAUCACACCAUAUCAAAUGUUCAGACGCCUGGGAAUACACACCCUUUGUGGCAGUGUCUCUCCCCAGCCCCCAUCCCAACUUUGCAUGUACUUUUGUAUUCAAAGAACUGCCUAACUACAUUUACUUAGUAAGCAAGAGGCACCGAUUUUUCUUACCUACUUAUACUGUGCUAACAAUUUGAAAGGAUUUGAGCUGGGUUACAGAAAGGGAUUAGAACGUAUAAAUCAUCUUUUAAAAAGUUAGAAAAUUAAGGGCAAUAAAGGCAAAGAAAACCUAUAUAAAAAUCUUACAAAGAUUUUGUUUUUGAUAACUAAGAAUUUUUCAUGCACUUAAUUCAGAAUAUUUUACAGUCUUCCACUUAAUAAUCAUAAAACAUUUCCCAGGGAAGUAAUAAGAAUGUGAUAUCCCAGCAUAUAUAUUAUAAUGUACUGGUCCAAGGUUAUCUUUUCCCCCAAACACACACAGUGGUUGAAUUUUCAAAAUUUACCACAUUUUCCUGUCAUUUUCAAGUUAUUUCAUGAUUUAACUCAAUAAGCGAGAAUAGAUUUAAUAGUAAAAUAUAUUUAUUGAUCAAUCUCUGUUAUGACACAUACAAAGCAAAAAUGAGGCAAAGAUCUGCUAAUGUGCAUAAAAUAUACUCACCUGUAGUUAAGACCCAGAAAUAAUUUUUCAAUAUUUUUCAAUUGAUAUUAUGUGUUAGUCACUUUUAUAUCUUCACAGUUUUUGGCAAUUAUAUGAAAUUGCUGUCUACUAUUUGAUCAUGUCAUUAUGUUCAAUAAUCAUGAUAAAUGUCUAGUUUCCCAUCUUUUGAUUUCAUUAAAUUCUCAUAAAUGCCAUGGCUAAUUGUAACAAAGAACACCAUCAACAAUGCUGUUUCUCAGUUCAUGCUGCUGGCACUAAUGCAAUGUAUGCCAGUGUUGCUCAUCUCUUAAGCUUCAGUUCCCAUUUCCUCCUUUAGUGACUGUAAAGAGAGGAAUAUUUAUAUGUGCUGAUAAGUAACUUUAAAUUUUACAUUUGGACAUUCAAGAAAGAAAUGCUUACUCUUUCUCAUCCUUUAUUUUAUUAUAUAAUUAUUCUCACUCAUGUAUAUUCAAAUCCUUAAAGAUACCUAUUAGAAACACUUACCAGCUCACUGACAAAUGGUUUCAUUGCUAUGCUAAAGGCCAAUGGCUUUGUGUGGAGAGGUGUUAAGUAUGUGCUUUUCUAGAAAUAUGUAAUAUUAUAUAAUAUUUUCAGUCUUUUGUUAAGAAACCUCAGAACCUUCUGAAGAGUCGAGUGCAUACCCCAUCCUGCAUAUGCUGCUCCAUAAGGGCCUCAAGAGGUGGAUAUUCAGAGUUAGUGAAUAAUUUAAAGGACAAACUGUGCUCUCUAACAGUUAUUUUAAGAAAUACAAGCAAAUAAACCAAGGGCUUGCAGAUUGAGCAGUGUCUCCUAACUCCUUCCCAAGUUCUCUCCUCACUCCUUCUGAUCUCACAUCAUUUUGUAGUCAAGGAACACACAAAUUCUAGGAGUGAAGACUUAUGAGAGCAAAAACAUAU
This 5160-nucleotide long non-coding RNA is filed under the name Mus musculus (house mouse). Lineage: Eukaryota; Metazoa; Chordata; Mammalia; Rodentia; Muridae. The record is from RNAcentral.